Molecule: unclassified non-coding RNA, 241 nt
Filed under: Hevea brasiliensis (rubber tree)
Lineage: Eukaryota; Viridiplantae; Streptophyta; Magnoliopsida; Malpighiales; Euphorbiaceae
Source: RNAcentral
CUUGCAUUUUGACACAGACUUCACUCCAUUCAGAUUUUCAUUUUACAAGUGGGGUGGUGGAUGACAAUCAACAUAAGGAGCCUGUUUAUGAUUCAAGCCCCCAAGCAGUUGACAAGUNNNNNNNNNNNNUCUGAUACACAAGGCGUGACAUCAGAAAUGGGUUCGCCUCCAGCAUUAGCUGAAUUUUCUGGUAAAGAAUCUGAAGUGCAUACUGAGAACAUGGGGAAAAAUACUUCUGGCC